Non-coding RNA from Vicia faba (fava bean), 297 nucleotides. The record is from the annotation of a GenBank genome assembly. Lineage: Eukaryota; Viridiplantae; Streptophyta; Magnoliopsida; Fabales; Fabaceae.
CAAAGGAAGAUUGAAAAUUCAAAGUUAAUAAGGUGGAAAAGAUCAAUACAUCCAUGUGAAUUCAAGAGUUAUUUCAAUUAUCAUUACAACUUCAAAAAGUUACAUUCCAUGCUUCACAUGAUUCAUCAAGAUACAAUUACACCACAAGGUGAAUUCAAGAUUACAAGCUUUACAAGGAUUAUAAGGUUGAACCAAAUCGGUUACCAUUCAUUAACCGUCAAAAACUUGCAAUACAUUAAAGAUUAUUUCAUCCCGGAUGUUCAAAUGCUUACACAAUUGAAGGAUAAAAUUCAUUAA